This 2148-nucleotide long non-coding RNA is filed under the name Olea europaea (common olive). Its description in RNAcentral is "long non-coding RNA (OEUR_LNC004218)". The record is from RNAcentral. Lineage: Eukaryota; Viridiplantae; Streptophyta; Magnoliopsida; Lamiales; Oleaceae.
UUACCUGAGAAAUGGAAUUUCGACGAAAAUUACGGAAUUACACCCUUGAAAAUGAUCCCGUCACAACUCACGAGCCUGAAAUAAAAAUUUAUAUAAAAUUAUGAUACUUAACUUAUGCAUUAUCAAAUUUAAGUAAAAUUAAAUUUAGGGCAUUGUCGCAUUGUAAGAAGUUAUCCAAAUCAAUUCCUUCAAUUAAGUUAUCAAAUUCAUUCACUUUAUCACACUUCCUACAUAGUAAAAUCCCAACAAAAGACUUUAAAAGCCCAAUUUUCAACAAUAUUUUAUUUUAUUUUUAUUUUUAUUUUUUUAUUUUUUUUGGGUAUGAAGUAUUCAGUAUGCCAAAUCUACUAGAAAUAUUAAUUAGAAAGGGAUCACGAUGAAACCCUCAAUCUUGCUAAAUAUUUUUAAACUUACUAGAACCAGUACUAUAACAAAAAGGAAAUCUCAUCAUACUUUGAUCAAGCAAAAAUCCAAAAAAAAAAUAUCGCUGAAGUCUUGAACGUUCAUCGUGUGAUUGAAAAAGAGAGCCAUUUUAAUCUUGUUCAUAUUUUCAAUUUCCUUCACAACUACAUUGUGAUUAGGAUGCUACUGCUGGGGAUUUUCUCCAAUUUACCCUACAAUUUAAAAUGUAAUAAGGGGACGAACUAAAAAACACAAGAAUUGAACCGAUCGGGCCUAUCUAGUUUUCAAAACCUUGAAUGUUCAGUGCAAAGUUAAGAUCAUUAACAUUUAAAUUGAAAAAUUUAUAGGUUCUUCAUACUUGUUUGGAAAUUUAAAUGCUUUUCCACCACUGGUACAACUAGACAACCAGUUAGCAUUGUGGAGAACAAAAGACUAAAAGAACUCGGUCCAACAAUGCACAAACAAGAGACCAUCUCUCAAAAUUUCCCAAAACAUUAAGAAAUAUGAAGGAUAUGUUACAAAUCUAUGAACCAUUGAAACCCCUCAAAAUUCCAAAAGAAGUGCAGUUACCGUUCUUUGACUUUGUCAAUCGAUGCCCAUUGCCAAUUUGCCCAAUAAGCCAAUAUUCGAUCGACGAGCAGACUUCGACCGACUUCUCAAAGAUUUUGGGAACUGGUGUACGAAGCGAUCGGCGGCAGAAGGGCGAAGGCGGACUGGUGGAGACUGGAGUGACCUAAUGGAGACAACACAGACACUUAGAUGAUGAGCAGGUCAUGAAUCGUAUUUCAGAUUUUGGGAUUUUUAGGUAAAUGGAUUGUGAAUAUUGGAUAUAUAAGUUGGGUUGGAAUUUAAGGGUAAAUGGAUUUGUGGGUUGUUGUUUAGUUAUUGGAUAAUUAGUUUUGGGCCAACUACCUUGUUUGGGGGGGGGGGGGGGGGGGGGGGGGAAUCUGGGCCAAAAUUAGGCCCCCUAUGGUCUUGGGUCUGAGGCGCAGGCCUCAUUGGCCUCACCCCAGGACCGGGCUUGACUGAAGUAGUACUAAGAAAGAAAAAAUAAGCUAAAAAUACUUAUCCAUUAUGCAUAGCAAGCAUUCACCAAAUGCAUUAGAUCUAAAUUUUAGCAGUAAACUUUGAUCUUCUCAUUCAUCCAUAAUAUUCAAAAACUAGAUGAAGCAUAUCAAAGUUUUAAACUUGAUUGUCUUUUGAAAAUCAUGAGCAAUUGAAAGUGCUUGCCAGUUGCCACGGUAUUAAUAGUUAACACUGUUAAUCUACAUGUAACCCGACAUUGGAAAUAGUUUCUUUAAUUCAAUAAACUAGAUCAUCUGGAUGUUCACAUAUAUGUUAUAUCAUGAAUAAAGGAUUCGAACUUUUACCUAAAUUCGAUCUUGAAGUAUAUCUUGGUUUGGUUCUGACAUGGACUUUUAUCACUCCGGUGACGAGCAUUUUAAGUUCAUGCAGGACAUUCAGGUUCACAAUAUGCAAAAGCAGUUAUAUGGGGACACACAUACCUUGGUUCCAGCCACAAUAGUGCCAUUUAGGGGAUGAGCUGCACAUUCAGUAACACCUUUAGAUAAUGACAAAAAUUUGUUUCGUUUAUGCUGGCUGGCUGGUUCCUCAGUGCUCAUUAAAUCAUCGUCGCUGGCAAUAAACUUUGCGUUAUCAGCAACCUCACGUCAACGUUUAGUCUCUAAUUUAUCCCCUGUCCUUCCUGCUUGCUAAUCAAAAUCAAAAGCGAGGGGGAAAUUACAC